UACGAAGGGGGCUAGCGUUGCUCGGAAUUACUGGGCGUAAAGCGCACGUAGGCGGAUUGUUAAGUCGGGGGUGGAAUCCUGGAGCUCAACUCCAGAACUGCCUUUGAUACUGAAGAUCUUGAGUUCGGGAGAGGUGAGUGGAACUGCGAGUGUAGAGGUGAAAUUCGUAGAUAUUCGCAAGAACACCAGUGGCGAAGGCGGCUCACUGGCCCGAUACUGACGCUGAGGCACGAAAGCGUGGGGAGCAAACAGG
Molecule: ribosomal RNA, 253 nt
Filed under: uncultured bacterium
Lineage: Bacteria
Description: partial 16S ribosomal RNA
Rfam family: Bacterial small subunit ribosomal RNA
Source: RNAcentral